RNAcentral lists this ribosomal RNA (624 nucleotides) under uncultured Lachnospiraceae bacterium. RNAcentral's name for it is "bacterial SSU rRNA". It matches the Rfam family "Bacterial small subunit ribosomal RNA", at positions 76 to 709 of the family's 1533-position model. The record is from RNAcentral. Lineage: Bacteria; Bacillati; Bacillota; Clostridia; Lachnospirales; Lachnospiraceae.
UUCUUCGGAUUGAUUCUUAAUUGACUGAGCGGCGGACGGGUGAGUAACGCGUGGGUGACCUGCCCCAUACCGGGGGAUAACAGCUGGAAACGGCUGCUAAUACCGCAUAAGCGCACAGAGCUGCAUGGCUCAGUGUGAAAAACUCCGGUGGUAUGGGAUGGGCCCGCGUCUGAUUAGGCAGUUGGCGGGGUAACGGCCCACCAAACCGACGAUCAGUAGCCGGCCUGAGAGGGCGACCGGCCACAUUGGGACUGAGGCACGGCCCAAACUCCUACGGGAGGCAGCAGUGGGGAAUAUUGCACAAUGGGGGAAACCCUGAUGCAGCGACGCCGCGUGAGCGAAGAAGUAUUUCGGUAUGUAAAGCUCUAUCAGCAGGGAAGAUAAUGACGGUACCUGACUAAGAAGCCCCGGCUAACUACGUGCCAGCAGCCGCGGUAAUACGUAGGGGGCAAGCGUUAUCCGGAUUUACUGGGUGUAAAGGGAGCGUAGACGGCAAGGCAAGUCUGAUGUGAAAACCCAGGGCUUAACCCUGGGACUGCAUUGGAAACUGUCUGGCUCGAGUGCCGGAGAGGUAAGCGGAAUUCCUAGUGUAGCGGUGAAAUGCGUAGAUAUUAGGAAGAACAC